RNAcentral lists this ribosomal RNA (305 nucleotides) under uncultured bacterium. RNAcentral describes it as "bacterial SSU rRNA". It matches the Rfam family "Bacterial small subunit ribosomal RNA", at positions 334 to 655 of the family's 1533-position model. The record is from RNAcentral.
UUUCCCUACGGGACGCAGCAGUGGGGAAUAUUGCGCAAUGGGGGAAACCCUGACGCAGCAACGCCGCGUGCGGGAUGACGGCCUUCGGGUUGUAAACCGCUUUCAGCAGGGAAGAACAUCGACGGUACCUGCAGAAGAAGCCCCGGCUAACUACGUGCCAGCAGCCGCGGUAAUACGUAGGGGGCAAGCGUUAUCCGGAUUUACUGGGUGUAAAGGGAGCGUAGACGGCCAGACAAGUCUGAAGUGAAAAUCCAGCGCUUAACGUUGGAAGUGCUUUGGAAACUGCCGGGCUAGAGUGCAGGCGG